GCGGCGCGCCUAACACAUGCAAGUCGAACGAGCGAGAGAGAGCUUGCUUUCUCGAGCGAGUGGCGAACGGGUGAGUAACGCGUGAGGAACCUGCCUCAAAGAGGGGGACAACAGUUGGAAACGACUGCUAAUACCGCAUAAGCCCACGGUGCCGCAUGGUACAGAGGGAAAAGGAGCAAUCCGCUUUGAGAUGGCCUCGCGUCCGAUUAGCUAGUUGGUGAGGUAACGGCCCACCAAGGCAACGAUCAGUAGCCGGUCUGAGAGGAUGAACGGCCACAUUGGAACUGAGACACGGUCCAAACUCCUACGGGAGGCAGCAGUGGGGAAUAUUGCACAAUGGGGGAAACCCUGAUGCAGCAACGCCGCGUGAGUGAAGAAGUAUUUCGGUAUGUAAAGCUCUAUCAGCAGGGAAGAUAAUGACGGUACCUGACUAAGAAGCACCGGCUAACUACGUGCCAGCAGCCGCGGUAAAACGUAGGGUGCAAGCGUUGUCCGGAAUUACUGGGUGUAAAGGGAGCGCAGGCGGAUUGGCAAGUUGGGAGUGAAAUCUAUGGGCUCAACCCAUAAAUUGCUUUCAAAACUGUCAGUCUUGAGUGGUGUAGAGGUAGGCGGAAUUCCCGGUGUAGCGGUGGAAUGCGUAGAUAUCGGGAGGAACACCAGUGGCGAAGGCGGCCUACUGGGCACUAACUGACGCUGAGGCUCGAAAGCAUGGGUAGCAAACAGG
RNAcentral lists this ribosomal RNA (724 nucleotides) under uncultured Lachnospiraceae bacterium. Its description in RNAcentral is "bacterial SSU rRNA". It matches the Rfam family "Bacterial small subunit ribosomal RNA", at positions 39 to 776 of the family's 1533-position model. Lineage: Bacteria; Bacillati; Bacillota; Clostridia; Lachnospirales; Lachnospiraceae. The record is from RNAcentral.